GUUCGCGGGUCUAAAUCAUUUAUAUAGGAUUUCUCUAUAUUUUUCUAUAAAUGAACUUUAUCUUAUAGUUAAUAGAAAAUUAAAAUAAAAAAGUGGGGUCACCGUUCAUUUGCGCUCACAAUCUGCCUUCGAAAGAAGCAUACAUUUUUGUAAAGGUGGUUGAAGUAAUAGGAGAAAUAUAGGUAAUAUCGAAAUAAAAAAAAAAAUUUAUUACAAAA
This 218-nucleotide long non-coding RNA is filed under the name Mytilus galloprovincialis (Mediterranean mussel). The record is from RNAcentral. Lineage: Eukaryota; Metazoa; Mollusca; Bivalvia; Mytilida; Mytilidae.